This 468-nucleotide ribosomal RNA is filed under the name uncultured bacterium. Its description in RNAcentral is "partial 16S ribosomal RNA". It matches the Rfam family "Bacterial small subunit ribosomal RNA", at positions 28 to 507 of the family's 1533-position model. The record is from RNAcentral.
GACGAACGCUGGCGGCGUGCUUAACACAUGCAAGUCGAACGGAAAGGCCCUGCUUUUGUGGGGUGCUCGAGUGGCGAACGGGUGAGUAACACGUGAGUAACCUGCCCUUGACUUUGGGAUAACUUCAGGAAACUGGGGCUAAUACCGGAUAGGAGCUCCUGCUGCAUGGUGGGGGUUGGAAAGUUUCGGCGGUUGGGGAUGGACUCGCGGCUUAUCAGCUUGUUGGUGGGGUAGUGGCUUACCAAGGCUUUGACGGGUAGCCGGCCUGAGAGGGUGACCGGCCACAUUGGGACUGAGAUACGACCCAGACUCCUACGGGAGGCAGCAGUGGGGAAUAGUGCACAAUGGGCGGAAGCCUGAUGCAGCAACGCCGCGUGCGGGAUGACGGCCUUCGGGUUGUAAACCGCUUUCGCCUGUGACGAAGCGUGAGUGACGGUAAUGGGUAAAGAAGCACCGGCUAACUACGUG